GAUGAAGAACGCAGCGAAAUGCGAUAAGUAAUGCGAAUUGCAGAAUUCCGUGAGUCAUCGAAUCUUUGAACGCACAUUGCGCCCUUUGGUAUUCCUUAGGGCAUGCCUGUUCGAGCGUCAUUUAAACCUUCAAGCUAAGCUUGGUGUUGGGUGACUGUCCGCUUCACGGCGGACUCGCCUCAAAAUUAUUGGCGGCCGGUACAUUGGCUUCGAGCGCAGCAGAAACGCGAACUCGGGCCCGUCGUAUUGGCUCCCAGAAGCUAUCUUCACAAUUUUGACCUCGGAUCAGGUAGGGAUACCCGCUGAACUUAAGCAUAUCAAUAAGCGGAGGA
RNAcentral lists this unclassified non-coding RNA (332 nucleotides) under soil metagenome. Its description in RNAcentral is "partial contains 5.8S ribosomal RNA, internal transcribed spacer 2, and large subunit ribosomal RNA". The stretch from base 1 to 120 matches the Rfam family "5.8S ribosomal RNA", at positions 35 to 154 of the family's 154-position model. The record is from RNAcentral.